GUUGCUUCAGUUUUCUCUUCCCUUGGCCAGAAACACACUAAAUCGUCUCCAAGUUCAAAGCAUUCAACAAACAGUGGCAAGGCAGAGUCACCAGAAAUGUGCACCUGAUUUCCAUGACAAAUAUGGUCAAGCUGUAUUAGAUAGGAGCCACUUUCUGUAUUGCUGUAUGGACAAAUACAGCAAAACAAAUUGAAAUCUAAUAGAACCUUCCCCCUGUUGGCAGAAUCGCCCCAAAGGAAUGGAGAGAUUAGUACUCACGCGAUCUGAUGUAAUAGUGAAUUUUGAAACCAACUCAUAAUUGAUGCCAAGUAAAAGCACUGUGAACCUAUUAAAUG
RNAcentral lists this long non-coding RNA (335 nucleotides) under Marmota monax (woodchuck). The record is from RNAcentral. Lineage: Eukaryota; Metazoa; Chordata; Mammalia; Rodentia; Sciuridae.